Long non-coding RNA from Alexandromys fortis (reed vole), 1429 nucleotides. RefSeq lists it as uncharacterized. The transcript has 4 exons. NCBI's taxonomy places the organism in Eukaryota, Metazoa, Chordata, Mammalia, Rodentia, Cricetidae. The record is from RefSeq and is a predicted model, not a curated record.
CGUGGAGCUCUAUCGUGGUGGCUGUCUGCAAGGUCUGGGGACAGGUCCCUAAGGUGCCCGGUGCUCCUGUGUAACAAACUCACGUGCGUGGGAAUGUCAGAUGUGAGAGUCAGGCUCUGUCGUCCCCAGAACCAUCCACAUGGUAUAGCACAAGAAGUCGUCAAGCUUGUCCCCGUGGGAACCGCUGGUGACUCCUGCCACUCCCAGGUCGGUGUUCAGGAGUUCUAGGUCCCUGCUGUACCCAGAAAGGGAAGCUGAGCCCUUAGAAGACCUUCCUGCCUACGUGCUUCUCAAAUAGGCAAAGCUCCGAGAUCCUCCAUCACUGUGACACCUGCUGACCCACGCUGUCUACCUACCUUGGUCCUGGGAGUCAUGGGACCUCAUUACAUUUCCUGUGAAGAGAGAAGCCACUGUCUGUCUGUCUGGGACUUGAAGGCUUGAUCUCCAAAUCCUCUCUGUCUAAUUCUAUAUAUUUCAGGGGCUUUUGUUUUUGUGACCCGACGCUUGGCGACACGACUCCAGUUUGCCUGUGUUUUAUGAGGUGAUGUGUGGGGUAUUCAGGGUAAAACUCCCAAGCCUUGACCCCCAGCAUCCCAACCUGCACAGUAAAUUCCUGGUUGAAUUUCAACCAUAAGAAAUCACUUAAAGAAUUUAUGCUGCCCAUUAGUUCCGUUCUGUCUGGAUGCUCUGCUCCCGCCCCGUAUCCUUCUCACAUUUCCCGACUCUUGUCACAGACUUUGCUGAUUGUUCAUCUUCUCCCCCUGGCUCCUAUGUGACCUUCGCAAGCCUGGGUACCUCCACGCAGCUCACAUUUCCCCACCUCUGAAAUGAAGGUGUACUUUGUCGUGCUGGGAUUCCUGAGGGUACAGUCGUCUCUUUAAACUGCUGAGCAAGAUCCAAGCUCCCCUGGAGUGUCAAAUGACCAGUGCUCAGCUUGUCUCUCAGUGGGGGUCCCUGUCACCUCUCUGUCCCUUCUAAUGGACGCAAAGCCUGAGGAUACAUCUCCCUGGCCUUGGCUUUCCCUCCACCCUCGGAAACAGCAUGUGAAUGUCUAAAACAGCUCUUGGGCAGACGGUUGGCUUGCAUGCAGAACCUCUGCCUGCUCACCCUGCUGGCCACUUCCUGCUUACAUAGGUUCUCCUGAGACCUUACUUCUCGGGGAUCCUGUGGUGGUUUGAAAGAAAAUGGGCCCGAAAGGGAGUGGCACUAUUAGGCUUUGUUGGAGGAAGUGUGUCACUGUGGGGGCGGGCUUUCAGGUUUUUUUUGCUCAAGUUUUUCUCAGUGUGAUUUUCCAUCAACUUCCUGUUGCCUGCAAGAUGUAGGACUUUCAGCUACUCCAGCACCAUGUCUGCUGGCACACUGCCAUGCUCCCUGCUGUGAUGAUAAUGGACUGAACCCCUGAAACCAUAAGCCAUCACCCUCAAUUAAA